This 434-nucleotide long non-coding RNA is filed under the name Anser brachyrhynchus (Pink-footed goose). RNAcentral describes it as "lncRNA (ENSABRG00000001478.1)". The record is from RNAcentral. Lineage: Eukaryota; Metazoa; Chordata; Aves; Anseriformes; Anatidae.
GAAUAACGUAAAUGAACGGGCGUACAAGAGUUUAUCAUGUGGGUGUCGAGGCCUUGAGGAGCUUCAAGUCAUGUGGCAGCAGCGCUGGCACCGGACCGCCUGAGGCGCUGCUUGGCUGCAGAAAUCAAUGAAGAGGUUCAAAGGCUAAUGAGAAGAGGAUGGGAAAAGAAGCUGACAGAUGGAUGGACAGACAACGUGACUGUGAUGAAAAUGACAUUUCUUUGUAUGAUGCGUCAUCCCCACAGUACCAUCUUCUGCUUGAUGAAGUGUGUGAGCCAUAGCACUGCAAGCCUGAUUUGGAAAAAAGGCAAACAUUGCUACAGGUGAAGGACUAAUGGAUGAUGGUAAUUUGUACGGUCUCAUUUGGCUUGGCAGUCACAGAAGAUUCCAGUAGCAAAAAUAAAGGCAUUUAGAAUGGAUUAAUUCUAGAGAAA